AGAGUGACAUCAUGCAGAAAAACUAGAGAGGUGAUGAUGUUACUGAUGAUGAUCCAUCAUCUUGAAACAUUGGCACACAACAGCUAUAGGAACAAAAAUGGAAUAUAAUAGAUGGGAUCAAGAAAAUCACUUCGCAGAGGAAUCCAGAAUGCAGAGAAAUUUAACGGGUCACAGAUGAGAAGAAGCAGAAGAAGAAAAAGAAGAGGUGAAAUAAACAGAGGAGUACGAUAAAAGUAACAAGAAAUACCAGAUCAAGAGAAAUUGAACAAAUAUAUAAAGCUCAAGUGGGAAUCAUAUACUCGAUCAAUUCAGCUUCCAUUCACGGAGAAACAACAAUAACAGUAAAAAUAUGGAACAGAACACAGUAUUCAAAAACCAGCCAAGAAAUCCAAGAACAAGAAAAUUCUUACUGGUCUUGCAAUUGAUAAAAAAAGACUUUUCUGGUUUUCUCCGGUACAGUCACAGCGAGAGAGAGAG
RNAcentral lists this unclassified non-coding RNA (477 nucleotides) under Hevea brasiliensis (rubber tree). Lineage: Eukaryota; Viridiplantae; Streptophyta; Magnoliopsida; Malpighiales; Euphorbiaceae. The record is from RNAcentral.